This 1947-nucleotide ribosomal RNA is filed under the name Triticum aestivum (bread wheat). Its description in RNAcentral is "partial small subunit ribosomal RNA". The record is from RNAcentral. Lineage: Eukaryota; Viridiplantae; Streptophyta; Magnoliopsida; Poales; Poaceae.
AUGGCCGACACCCGCUGCACCCACCGGAGAAGAACCACCGCCCGCCAAGCACUCCGAAGCCUCGCGUACCAAGCAACAUCUUCAGGAAGAAAUGCGACGACGACGCCGCUGCUGCCCGGACAAGUCCUAGGGUUUCCCCCGGUACGCGGAUGGCAGUGGGGAAGGGGGUAUCACCGACGCCCCUCAAGAGGGUCUGGCAACGCCCACGGGCGCAGCUGCGCCGGUGGCGAACGAGCCACCAGAGAUUUCUCCCGCCCCGAAGCCACCACCGCCACCUCAGACAAUCGGAAGCGCACCGCCCAACAUGCCGCCCACCAGCCUGUGCCACCGCGGAUAACGCACCAUCUUCACUGUUUCACUGAGGCCACCAACACGAGACCUGGAGGUAGGACGAGAAGACGCCGGGCUCGGAGGCAACCGCACCAUAACCGACAGGAGGGAACAACCUCCACCGCCGCGCGGAGCCGACCGGACAUGGCAACAGGGACUUGCCGGGCCACCACCGGCCCGGCCAGACCCCGACGGGUCCGGACAGUCCCCGCAGCCACGCUGCAGCACACCGGCCGCCGGAGCCACCACCACCGCAGCCACGGCCCCCUCAUUCCACCACCAGGGAGCCACGCCGUCGCGCACCGGUCCGCAGGCCCGCCCCAGCCUAGAUGGGGCCCGAAAGGGCCCAGAUCUGGGCCGAGCGGGCGCCGCCGGCCAGCCGCCCACCGCGCCGCCCCGCAACCAACGAGGGAGGAGGAGGACCGAGACGGGGGGAGGGCAGGGGGGCGCUCCGCCGCCUCGGGGAGCGCCGGGGGAGGGGGGGAGGGGGAGAUGAGGGGGGGACCGGGGGGCGCGCGCGAGGCGGCCGGCGCCGGCGGGAGGGGGCGAGGGAGGCCGGCGGCGGCGGGGCGGAACCCUAGGGCGGGUCGCGGGAGCGAGCGGUCCCUGCAAGGAAACUCACUCAGUAUCUACACUUGCCAGAUACAGGAGAACGACAUCGUGCAAAUAAUGGCCAACAGGACAUGUUCUGCUACUGUCUCCUCACUCUUUGCUUCAUCUGGGCCGCAAGGAUGGGCAGAGCUCCCGGACGACCAGCUCCGACCUGUUGUCGCUCUACUAUGCUCCUCACCUUCGGUACCACUUGUCAUCAUUGGGGUGAAUGUGAUCUCUUCUCAGCCCAUGCUCCUCUGUCCAGCCCCUGCUCCUCCACCCCAAUCUCCGUACCAACGAUUGGCUGACCCUGCUGCCACCUCAUCCUCUCGCAGUUUUCUUUCGUUGAGUGACCUCAGAAGCAUGACCUUUCGGCGCUGCUCCUACAGUCAGCUCAUCUUCUGCGACAACAAUGGGUUCCAUAUUGUUAAUCCAUUCAGUGGCGCUAAGGUUGGUCCUCCUUCCCUCCGGUCAGUUCACUUCACUUGCAUCAGCUAUGUCACCUUAACUGCCCCUGUUGCAUCCGCUGAUUCGCAUCUCCUUGUCGGUGCUGGAGCCUAUCUGUUCCUGUGGCCAGGCGCAUUGGCAGCGACUCUUGGACAAAACACAGCCCUAAAGUUGGCGGGAAGAAGGAUGCGCUCGGAGGCCUUCAAGCUUGAGUCAGUGGACAUCAUGACCAAGAAGGCAAGGUGGGUGAAAGUGAACAAGUUAGAUAACUGGGCCAUCUUUAUCAGCAUUGACGAGCGGUGCGAGGCGUUGCCGUGCAUGAACCCGGAGGGAUGGGGAGGAAGGAGCAACCACAUAUACUUCCCAAGUUAUCAGUCUAAAAAACCUUGGGCUGCAGUCCAACUAUGGAAAAAAUGUUAUUACCGUUCGACAUGUUUGCAGCUCUUCAACACUGGAAGACGGUACCUGAAAUUGGAGUCAACCUGGGUCUUCCCCGCGCGUUUCCUUUUUACGUCCUGUGAUGAUCUUACGACUAUUGUGGAGUUUUCUUGUACCUGGGCACUUGAUAACAUGGGCUAG